UGCUCCUGCACAUGCGCACGUUUAUGCAA
RNAcentral lists this non-coding RNA (29 nucleotides) under Mus musculus (house mouse). Lineage: Eukaryota; Metazoa; Chordata; Mammalia; Rodentia; Muridae. The record is from RNAcentral.